CCACUCUUCAAAAUACUUUGAACACUAGGUGUACUUACCACCAAUAGUUUUUCAGAGGAAGAAGGAAUAUAAGUAUCGACGAGAAAAGCACCCCGUGUGAAUCAAUCAGCUGCGCAACGGUUGAAUUCCACGAAUUUGAAGGUUAUAUGGUCCGCGGGUUACUAAACAUUUAUGACCGUGCCGAUAAGACGAAUGAUAAAUGAUAUAUAUGACGCCUAUAAAAACUUGGUACCCAUCGAAUAAUGAAUCUAAUCAGUUCGUUGUUCUCCAUACCUAGGGAUCAGCGUAAUCAUCAAUAAACUUAUCAUAUAAACAAGGAACUUUGAAAAGGAAAAAACAAGAAAGUAUUAGUGAAAAUGAUGAAAAAAAAGACCGAAAGAAACUUAUCACAGAAUUCACUGGCCCAAGCUGAUUCCUCUAAAGUCGAAAAUAUACUUAAAGAUAAAGAUGUUUGUGAUAACGAUAUCGGCAAAUGGGUAGGGCGAACUUCUUUAAUGACAAUUCAAAAAUUAGAUAUGCUCAAACUUGGUUGGGUACCUCCUGAAAGUUACGACUUUGCCAAAGAUGCCGUAGUCGCUAAUCUCAAACGUAAAUUCAAUCAUAGUUGGGUGCAAACUUAUUCGCCCUGGCUGCGCCUAAAGGUACACUGUGUUUAUAUUUUUCACCCAAAGUUGUAGCUGGUGGUUUAUUUGUAACUCAAUCGCUUUGCCGCUUUAAAAAUAUUCAUGAAUAAUUCGUUAAGCAUGUCUCAUCACAAUAUCAUAAAUUCGAAGUCGACGAAGAGAUUUUUUUUCGGAACAAAUGCCUGUGGUUGUAAUGAUGAAAACGGCUGAUCAGCCAAAAAUUGAGAAAAAUAAAAACAUAGUGCCCUCUAUAA
This is a long non-coding RNA of Leptinotarsa decemlineata (Colorado potato beetle), 877 nucleotides long. RefSeq lists it as uncharacterized. The record is from RefSeq and is a predicted model, not a curated record. NCBI's taxonomy places the organism in Eukaryota, Metazoa, Arthropoda, Insecta, Coleoptera, Chrysomelidae.